This 85-nucleotide transfer RNA is filed under the name Bacillota bacterium. Its description in RNAcentral is "tRNA-Tyr". It matches the Rfam family "tRNA". Rfam says of the family: Transfer RNA (tRNA) molecules are approximately 80 nucleotides in length. Their secondary structure includes four short double-helical elements and three loops (D, anti-codon, and T loops). Further hydrogen bonds mediate the characteristic L-shaped molecular structure. tRNAs have two regions of fundamental functional importance: the anti-codon, which is responsible for specific mRNA codon recognition, and the 3' end, to which the tRNAs corresponding amino acid is attached (by aminoacyl-tRNA synthetases). tRNAs cope with the degeneracy of the genetic code in two manners: having more than one tRNA (with a specific anti-codon) for a particular amino acid; and 'wobble' base-pairing, i.e. permitting non-standard base-pairing at the 3rd anti-codon position. Lineage: Bacteria; Bacillati; Bacillota. RNAcentral also lists the same sequence under 3 other names. The record is from RNAcentral.
GGAUGAGUUCCCGAGUGGCCAAAGGGAGCAGACUGUAAAUCUGCCGUCACAGACUUCGGUGGUUCGAAUCCACCCUCAUCCACCA